GCCGGGUGAUGAGAUUAUAUGGAUUCCCCUUCGGCAGUGUCGCAAGACACAGCGACCGACACCCCAUUGACUGACGGC
RNAcentral lists this small nucleolar RNA (78 nucleotides) under Chlamydomonas reinhardtii. Its description in RNAcentral is "CrCD22a snoRNA". The record is from RNAcentral. Lineage: Eukaryota; Viridiplantae; Chlorophyta; Chlorophyceae; Chlamydomonadales; Chlamydomonadaceae.